This 427-nucleotide ribosomal RNA is filed under the name uncultured bacterium. Its description in RNAcentral is "bacterial SSU rRNA". It matches the Rfam family "Bacterial small subunit ribosomal RNA", at positions 355 to 774 of the family's 1533-position model. The record is from RNAcentral.
UAGGGAAUAUUGGACAAUGGGGGCAACCCUGAUCCAGCCAUGCCGCGUGAGUGAAGAAGGCCCUCGGGUUGUAAAGCUCUUUUGUCCGGAAAGAAAAGCAUUCGGUGAAUACCCGGAUGUUCUGACGGUACCGGAAGAAUAAGCACCGGCUAACUUCGUGCCAGCAGCCGCGGUAAUACGAAGGGUGCAAGCGUUACUCGGAAUUACUGGGCGUAAAGCGUGCGUAGGUGGUUGUUUAAGUCUGAUGUGAAAGCCCUGGGCUCAACCUGGGAAUGGCAUUGGAAACUGGGCAGCUAGAGUGCGGUAGAGGGUAGUGGAAUUCCCGGUGUAACAGUGAAAUGCGUAGAGAUCGGGAGGAACAUCUGUGGCGAAGGCGACUGCCUGGACCAGCACUGACACUGAGGCACGAAAGCGUGGGGAGCAAACA